AUGAACGCUGGCGGCAGGCCUAACACAUGCAAGUCGAGCGGUAGCACAGAGAGCUUGCUCUCGGGUGACGAGCGGCGGACGGGUGAGUAAUGUCUGGGAAACUGCCUGAUGGAGGGGGAUAACUACUGGAAACGGUAGCUAAUACCGCAUAACGUCGCAAGACCAAAGUGGGGGACCUUCGGGCCUCAUGCCAUCAGAUGUGCCCAGAUGGGAUUAGCUAGUAGGUGGGGUAAUGGCUCACCUAGGCGACGAUCCCUAGCUGGUCUGAGAGGAUGACCAGCCACACUGGAACUGAGACACGGUCCAGACUCCUACGGGAGGCAGCAGUGGGGAAUAUUGCACAAUGGGCGCAAGCCUGAUGCAGCCAUGCCGCGUGUAUGAAGAAGGCCUUCGGGUUGUAAAGUACUUUCAGCGAGGAGGAAGGCAUUAAGGUUAAUAACCUUAGUGAUUGACGUUACUCGCAGAAGAAGCACCGGCUAACUCCGUGCCAGCCGCCGC
This 498-nucleotide ribosomal RNA is filed under the name uncultured bacterium. Its description in RNAcentral is "bacterial SSU rRNA". It matches the Rfam family "Bacterial small subunit ribosomal RNA", at positions 29 to 518 of the family's 1533-position model. The record is from RNAcentral.